RNAcentral lists this ribosomal RNA (406 nucleotides) under uncultured bacterium. RNAcentral's name for it is "partial 16S ribosomal RNA". It matches the Rfam family "Bacterial small subunit ribosomal RNA", at positions 28 to 526 of the family's 1533-position model. The record is from RNAcentral.
GACGAACGCUGGCGGCGUGCCUAAUACAUGCAAGUAGAACGAGUUGCGAACGGGUGAGUAACGCGUGGUAACCUGCCGCAUAGCGUGGGAUAACUAUUGGAAACGAUAGCUAAUACCGCAUACUGUGAGAUGGACAUGCGUUUGAUUAGCUAGUUGGUGAGGUAGAGGCUCACCUAGGCGACGAUCCCUAGCUGGUCUGAGAGGAGGAUCAGCCACACUGGAACUGAGACACGGUCCAGACUCCUACGGGAGGCAGCAGUGGGGAAUAUUGGACAAUGGGCGCAAGCCUGAUACAGCCAUGCCGCGUGUAUGAAGAAGGUCUUCGGGUUGUAAAGUACUUUCAGCGAGGAGGCGUUACUCGCAGAAGAAGCACCGGCUAACUCCGUGCCAGCAGCCGCGGUAAUUC